RNAcentral lists this ribosomal RNA (233 nucleotides) under uncultured bacterium. RNAcentral's name for it is "partial 16S ribosomal RNA". It matches the Rfam family "Bacterial small subunit ribosomal RNA", at positions 100 to 334 of the family's 1533-position model. The record is from RNAcentral.
CGGGACGGGUGAGUAAUGUCUGGGAAACGUGCCUGAUGGAGGGGGAUAACUACUGGAAACGGUAGCUAAUACCGCAUAACGUCGCAAGACCAAAGAGGGGGACCUUCGGGCCUCUUGCCAUCGGAUGUGCCCAGAUGGGAUUAGCUAGUAGGUGGGGUAACGGCUCACCUAGGCGACGAUCCCUAGCUGGUCUGAGAGGAUGCCAGCCACACUGGAACUGAGACACGGUCCAG